This 1146-nucleotide ribosomal RNA is filed under the name Salmonella enterica subsp. enterica serovar Bareilly. RNAcentral describes it as "partial 23S ribosomal RNA". It matches the Rfam family "Bacterial large subunit ribosomal RNA", at positions 609 to 1757 of the family's 2925-position model. The record is from RNAcentral. Lineage: Bacteria; Pseudomonadati; Pseudomonadota; Gammaproteobacteria; Enterobacterales; Enterobacteriaceae.
UGUAUAAUGGGUCAGCGACUUAUAUUCUGUAGCAAGGUUAACCGUAUAGGGGAGCCGGAGGGAAACCGAGUCUUAACCGGGCGUUAAGUUGCAGGGUAUAGACCCGAAACCCGGUGAUCUAGCCAUGGGCAGGUUGAAGGUUGGGUAACACUAACUGGAGGACCGAACCGACUAAUGUUGAAAAAUUAGCGGAUGACCUGUGGCUGGGGGUGAAAGGCCAAUCAAACCGGGAGAUAGCUGGUUCUCCCCGAAAGCUAUUUAGGUAGCGCCUCGUGAAUUCAUCUCCGGGGGUAGAGCACUGUUUCGGCUAGGGGGCCAUCCCGGCUUACCAACCCGAUGCAAACUGCGAAUACCGGAGAAUGUUAUCACGGGAGACACACGGCGGGUGCUAACGUCCGUCGUGAAGAGGGAAACAACCCAGACCGCCAGCUAAGGUCCCAAAGUCAUGGUUAAGUGGGAAACGAUGUGGGAAGGCACAGACAGCCAGGAUGUUGGCUUAGAAGCAGCCAUCAUUUAAAGAAAGCGUAAUAGCUCACUGGUCGAGUCGGCCUGCGCGGAAGAUGUAACGGGGCUAAACCAUGCACCGAAGCUGCGGCAGCGACGUUUAUGCGUUGUUGGGUAGGGGAGCGUUCUGUAAGCCUGCGAAGGUGGCCUGUGAGGGUUGCUGGAGGUAUCAGAAGUGCGAAUGCUGACAUAAGUAACGAUAAAGCGGGUGAAAAGCCCGCUCGCCGGAAGACCAAGGGUUCCUGUCCAACGUUAAUCGGGGCAGGGUGAGUCGACCCCUAAGGCGAGGCCGAAAGGCGUAGUCGAUGGGAAACGGGUUAAUAUUCCCGUACUUGGUGUUACUGCGAAGGGGGGACGGAGAAGGCUAUGUUGGCCGGGCGACGGUUGUCCCGGUUUAAGCGUGUAGGCUGGUUUUCCAGGCAAAUCCGGAAAAUCAAGGCUGAGGCGUGACGACGAGGCACUACGGUGCUGAAGCAACAAAUGCCCUGCUUCCAGGAAAAGCCUCUAAGCAUCAGGUAACAUCAAAUCGUACCCCAAACCGACACAGGUGGUCAGGUAGAGAAUACCAAGGCGCUUGAGAGAACUCGGGUGAAGGAACUAGGCAAAAUGGUGCCGUAACUUCGGGAGAAGGCACGCUGACAC